GCCUCAAAACACUACCUAGGCUCCAAAUUGACCAUUAGCCGUCACCCCCAAAUUUGUGGUCCAUAACCCACGAUUUUCAUCGAUUCAGUUGCAACGGGGUGGAAUGCCGCCUUUUUUACCGCCGUUUUGAUCGGAUUUUCGGUGAAAAGAUGUUAAGUAGGAACUCGCGUUUGUGGUCGCGGAUUGAAGAAUUAAUUCAUGCAGGAUGGCGGUUUCGUGUUAAUAAUCGUUGGUUUGUUCGUCAGUGUUAAUAAUCGCGGAUUUAAGAACUAAUUCAAGAGGACGUCAGCUUUGUUCGUCAGUGAAGAUCUAGGUCUCAUUGUCGGCUCCUAAAUGGCUACGAUCUAUCUUUCUCCCAAGAUCUAGGUAUGCACCGUUUUUGUAUUCGUCUCCUAAUCUGCUGGUACCUGCUUUUCUAACAGGCUCUGAUUUAUCUUCCAAACACAUGAACAGCGGCUUCGAUUUGCUAACUAAGUACAGCAGCUGCUUUGUGUGUUUCUAGAGGUUGUCAUCUGUUUUCAACAGUGGCGAACUAGUUCUUCGACUGAACUCGGCGAUAUUAAGUUAUAAGAUUUCUUCCUGUGAAUCUUAUUUCAAUGUCUUAUUUUUUAGUUUGAUUUGUUUUUCAUAUCAUGACUAGCUAACUCUCUAUUGUUUAUAUUAGAUGAACCCUAGACGAUCUCGAUGAACUAAUGAUAUAUUUCACUUUAUGCAAGUUUAGAAUAUCUCAC
Molecule: long non-coding RNA, 731 nt
Filed under: Linum usitatissimum (flax)
Lineage: Eukaryota; Viridiplantae; Streptophyta; Magnoliopsida; Malpighiales; Linaceae
Description: long non-coding RNA (LUSI_LNC006287)
Source: RNAcentral